CCUACGGGAGGCAGCAGUGGGGAAUAUUGCACAAUGGGGGAAACCCUGAUGCAGCGACGCCGCGUGAAGGAAGAAGUAUUUCGGUAUGUAAACUUCUAUCAGCAGGGAAGAAAAUGAUGGUACCUGACUAAGAAGCCCCGGCUAACUACGUGCCAGCAGCCGCGGUACUACGUAGGGGGCAAGCGUUAUCCGGAUUUACUGGGUGUAAAGGGAGCGUAGGCGGUUUAGCAAGUCAGAAGUGAAAGCCCGGGGCUCAACUCCGGGACUGCUUUUGAAACUGUUGAACUAGAUUGCAGGAGAGGUAAGUGGAAUUCCUAGUGUAGCGGUGAAAUGCGUAGAUAUCAGGAGGAACACCAGUGGCGAAGGCGGCUUACUGGACUGUAAAUGACGCUGAGGCUCGAAAGCGUGGGGAGCAAACAGGAUUAGAUACCCGUGUAGUC
Molecule: ribosomal RNA, 440 nt
Filed under: uncultured bacterium
Lineage: Bacteria
Description: partial 16S ribosomal RNA
Rfam family: Bacterial small subunit ribosomal RNA
Source: RNAcentral